This 450-nucleotide ribosomal RNA is filed under the name uncultured Glomeromycotina. Its description in RNAcentral is "SSU rRNA". It matches the Rfam family "Eukaryotic small subunit ribosomal RNA", at positions 569 to 1022 of the family's 1831-position model. Lineage: Eukaryota; Fungi; Glomeromycota. The record is from RNAcentral.
AGCAGCCGCGGUAAUUCCAGCUCCAAUAGCGUAUAUUAAAGUUGUUGCAGUUAAAAAGCUCGUAGUUGAACUUCGGGAUCAAUGAAUCGGUCAUGCUUUCGUAUGUACUGGUUUUAUUGGUUCUCACCUUCUAAGGAACCAUAAAUGUCAUUCAUUUGAUGUUAUGGGGAAUUAGGACUGUUACCUUGAAAAAAUUAGAGUGUUUAAAGCAGGCUAACGCUUGAAUACAUUAGCAUGGAAUAAUGAAAUAGGACAUCGCAUUCUAUUUUGUUGGUUUCUAGGAUCGAUGUAAUGAUUAAUAGGGAUAGUUGGGGGCAUUAGUAUUCAAUUAUCAGAGGUGAAAUUCUUGGAUUUAUUGAAGACUAACUACUGCGAAAGCAUUUGUCCAAGGAUGUUUUCAUUAAUCAAGAACGAAAGUUAGGGGAUCGAAGACGAUCAGAUACCGUCGUA